RNAcentral lists this transfer RNA (77 nucleotides) under Marinomonas spartinae. RNAcentral describes it as "tRNA-Met". It matches the Rfam family "tRNA". From Rfam's summary of the family: Transfer RNA (tRNA) molecules are approximately 80 nucleotides in length. Lineage: Bacteria; Pseudomonadati; Pseudomonadota; Gammaproteobacteria; Oceanospirillales; Oceanospirillaceae. RNAcentral also lists the same sequence under 4 other names. The record is from RNAcentral.
CGCGGAGUGGAGCAGUCUGGUAGCUCGUCGGGCUCAUAACCCGAAGGUCGUUGGUUCGAAUCCGGCCUCCGCAACCA